RNAcentral lists this ribosomal RNA (1020 nucleotides) under Trichoderma harzianum. RNAcentral describes it as "SSU rRNA". It matches the Rfam family "Eukaryotic small subunit ribosomal RNA", at positions 79 to 1108 of the family's 1831-position model. The record is from RNAcentral. Lineage: Eukaryota; Fungi; Ascomycota; Sordariomycetes; Hypocreales; Hypocreaceae.
CCGCGAAACUGCGAAUGGCUCAUUAUAUAAGUUAUCGUUUAUUUGAUAAUACUUUACUACUUGGAUAACCGUGGUAAUUCUAGAGCUAAUACAUGCUGAAAAUCCCGACUUCGGAAGGGAUGUAUUUAUUAGAUUAAAAACCAAUGCCCCUCGGGGCUCUCUGGUGAAUCAUGAUAACUAGUCGAAUCGACAGGCCUUGUGCCGGCGAUGGCUCAUUCAAAUUUCUUCCCUAUCAACUUUCGAUGUUUGGGUAUUGGCCAAACAUGGUGGCAACGGGUAACGGAGGGUUAGGGCUCGACCCCGGAGAAGGAGCCUGAGAAACGGCUACUACAUCCAAGGAAGGCAGCAGGCGCGCAAAUUACCCAAUCCCGACACGGGGAGGUAGUGACAAUAAAUACUGAUACAGGGCUCUUUUGGGUCUUGUAAUCGGAAUGAGUACAAUUUAAAUCCCUUAACGAGGAACAAUUGGAGGGCAAGUCUGGUGCCAGCAGCCGCGGUAAUUCCAGCUCCAAUAGCGUAUAUUAAAGUUGUUGUGGUUAAAAAGCUCGUAGUUGAACCUUGGGCCUGGCUGGCCGGUCCGCCUCACCGCGUGCACUGGUCCGGCCGGGCCUUUCCCUCUGCGGAACCCCAUGCCCUUCACUGGGUGUGGCGGGGAAACAGGACUUUUACUUUGAAAAAAUUAGAGUGCUCAAGGCAGGCCUAUGCUCGAAUACAUUAGCAUGGAAUAAUAGAAUAGGACGUGUGGUUCUAUUUUGUUGGUUUCUAGGACCGCCGUAAUGAUUAAUAGGGACAGUCGGGGGCAUCAGUAUUCAAUUGUCAGAGGUGAAAUUCUUGGAUUUAUUGAAGACUAACUACUGCGAAAGCAUUUGCCAAGGAUGUUUUCAUUAAUCAGGAACGAAAGUUAGGGGAUCGAAGACGAUCAGAUACCGUCGUAGUCUUAACCAUAAACUAUGCCGACUAGGGAUCGGACGAUGUUACAUUUUUGACGCGUUCGGCACCUUACGAGAAAUCAAAGUGCUG